RNAcentral lists this ribosomal RNA (777 nucleotides) under uncultured Neocallimastigales. Its description in RNAcentral is "partial large subunit ribosomal RNA". It matches the Rfam family "Eukaryotic large subunit ribosomal RNA", at positions 22 to 628 of the family's 3401-position model. Lineage: Eukaryota; Fungi; Neocallimastigomycota; Neocallimastigomycetes; Neocallimastigales. The record is from RNAcentral.
GUACACGCUGUGACUAGCAUAUCAAUAAGCGGAGGAAAAGAAACUAACAAGGAUUCCCCUAGUAACGGCGAGUGAAGCGGGAAGAGCUCAGAUUUGAAAUCUUAAAGGGUUUCCCUUUACGAAUUAUAGUUUAAAGAAGUGUUUUCUGUUGAGGUUUUGGUAAAAGUUCUUUGGAAUAGGACAUCAUAGAGGGUGAGAAUCCCGUAUUUGACCUUUACUUUCAACUUUGUGAUACACUUUCAAAGAGUCGGAUUGUUUGGGAAUGCAGUCCAAAAUGGGUGGUAAAUUUCAUCUAAAGCUAAAUAUUGGUGAGAGACCGAUAGCGAACAAGUACCGUGGAGGGAAAGAUGAAAAGAACUUUGAAAAGAGAGUUAAACAGUACGUGAAAUUGUCAAAAGGGAAGCGUUUGACACCAGUGUUGUUUUUCUGAAAAUCAAUUAAAGAACUGUUUAUGCUAAGUUGUUUAGACUUUAUCAGCUAACUGUUUAGUUUUGAGCUUUUCUUUAAUGCACUUUUCAGUUAACAAGUCAACGAUCAAUUUCUUUUGCUGUAAAAAAGCUUGAGGAAGGUGGCUUGAGAUUCGUCUUAAGUGUUUAUAGCCUCUUGCCUAUGCAGUCGGAGGAGAUUGAGGUCUGCAGCGUAGAUCCUUCGGGGCUAAAUGCAUUUGUGCUAAGUUAUAGCAUUUUAUAGACAACUUGUUGACUAUGAUUUGUCUUGUAGCUUACUCGCUUAUGUUAUUUUACCUACGCUUAGGAUGUUGAGUCGUAGAGCACGCAG